RNAcentral lists this long non-coding RNA (968 nucleotides) under Homo sapiens (human). Its description in RNAcentral is "HSALNT0025970". Lineage: Eukaryota; Metazoa; Chordata; Mammalia; Primates; Hominidae. The record is from RNAcentral.
ACAAAGGACCGCUGGCGAGAUGAGCCAUCCUUCUUGCUUGUCAUGCUGGAGGGAAGUUUCUGGCUUCCGGACAAAUGCUUGUUUGCAGGAGGCCACAGAGGAUCCACGUGGCAAAGGUUCCUACUCACAGAGUGGGAUCUGCAAUCCGCAGGCAGGGUCCUUCAGGAAGAAGCCGUGCUGAGCACACAGGUCCCUGCGACCACAGAUGAACAGAACGCCUGGCCUUGCCCCUGGUGUCAGUCAGACUAAUUAGGGGCCCAGGGGACUUGCUGGCACUGCCCUUGCUGUGGCUGGAAAAGCUAUUUAAAUUCACAAAGAGCCUCACUUCCAGGCCAGGUCCUUUUGGUUCCAUGCGUGGGAGCCAGGUGCAAAGACGAAUGUGCUCUCAGCAGAACGACCCUGGGCUCUGCUUAUCUCCGAGGACAGGAUCUAAUCUCACACUGAAUUUCAGAAGGGAGACCGAUCAUGUUGGCAAUGCCCCCCUCCUGUAUGCAAGAAAAAUGAUUUUAGAAUUUGCAGCCAAGAGGACCCUGUCUCCACGCAGCUGAGCUGGGGCUUUCUUACAACAAUCAUGCAAGGGACGCGGGCUGCAGUGAGGAUUUCCCCCCAGUCACUGCCAAGAGACGCAUCCAAAUGACAGACAACGUUAGGCUUUUCCUGGGUCGGGCGCCAUCCCUGUACAGGCAAAGGGCCCAACAGCAUCUUCAACCUGAGCCUGAAGACCCCAGCCCCGACCUGGAGAUGAGGGGGAGGAAGCGCCGUCCCAGAGGAGCAAGGGUGGAGGCCCCCUGGUCUCUGGGAGGCGUGGAGAGCUGGGGCCGGUGCAGGAAGGGAAGCUCUGGUGAGGCUGGGACCUUUUGAGGAGGGAAGAGCAAGUUACCCGGAAAUACAUCACAAAUACUGUGGGAUUUAACUGUAAGUACAAAACAGCUUUUCCAUCAGAACUUAACAGCUACUAUAUUUUCCAG